GAGAGAGAGAGAGAGAGAGAGAGAGAGAGAGAGAUGCUAGGGCUACUAUCCUAUUAAUAGGAUAGUAACACUUGUCCUAUCAAAUUAUUAUUCUUGAUGAUAGAGAUUCCGAAUCGAUGAUCAGAGCCGUUGAAGUUGAUCUAGAAUAUUUGAAAUAUCUAGAAAUUAAAUUUCAUAAAUUUUAAAAAUUAUUUACAUGGUGAUCAAAGUGUCGUAAAAUCGACAAUUUUUGACGGCCUAUAUAUAUGAGCAAUUUGCUUGUUUAAUAAUAUAGAGUAAUCCAAAUUGCUUGAAUUUUUGAUAGAAAAUUUUUUAUACUAUUUAGAUAAUAUUUGAUAACUCUGAUCAUGAUUUGAGAAAGUUUAACCUCUAUUUUAAGAAGAUUAUUCAUUUAUGACCAUUCAUUUUUUCGACUCUUCGAUAGACUUGAUAAUGAUUUUCAAAAAUUACAAAAUUCGGUUUUUAAAUAUUUCUUAUAGUGUAGAUCAAUUUCAACAGUGCCGAUUAUCAAUUUGGAAUGUCGAUCAUUCAAAACCAUUUGAUAGGACAAUGGUCCCAAUCCUAUUAAUAGAUAGUAGCCGGACUCUAUAUAUAUAU
Molecule: long non-coding RNA, 597 nt
Filed under: Ananas comosus (pineapple)
Lineage: Eukaryota; Viridiplantae; Streptophyta; Magnoliopsida; Poales; Bromeliaceae
Description: long non-coding RNA (ACOM_LNC004824)
Source: RNAcentral